This 103-nucleotide transfer RNA is filed under the name Russula ochroleuca. It matches the Rfam family "tRNA". From Rfam's summary of the family: Transfer RNA (tRNA) molecules are approximately 80 nucleotides in length. Their secondary structure includes four short double-helical elements and three loops (D, anti-codon, and T loops). Further hydrogen bonds mediate the characteristic L-shaped molecular structure. tRNAs have two regions of fundamental functional importance: the anti-codon, which is responsible for specific mRNA codon recognition, and the 3' end, to which the tRNAs corresponding amino acid is attached (by aminoacyl-tRNA synthetases). tRNAs cope with the degeneracy of the genetic code in two manners: having more than one tRNA (with a specific anti-codon) for a particular amino acid; and 'wobble' base-pairing, i.e. permitting non-standard base-pairing at the 3rd anti-codon position. Lineage: Eukaryota; Fungi; Basidiomycota; Agaricomycetes; Russulales; Russulaceae. The record is from Rfam by way of RNAcentral.
GCCCGCCUAGCUCAAUCGGAUAGAGCGUCAGACUCUUACGGCGGGCGUGGAGUACACAGUUCCUGUGAUCUGAAGGCUGCGAGUUCGACCCUCGCGGUGGGCU